This 377-nucleotide unclassified non-coding RNA is filed under the name uncultured Actinomycetes bacterium. Its description in RNAcentral is "uncultured actinobacterium contains 16S-23S intergenic spacer region". Lineage: Bacteria; Bacillati; Actinomycetota; Actinomycetes. The record is from RNAcentral.
UCCGGCUCAACGCCGGCAGUCUCUCUAGAGUCCCCACCAUUACGUGCUGGCAACUAAAGACGGGGGUUGCGCUCGUUGCGGGACUUAACCCAACAUCUCACGACACGAGCUGACGACAACCAUGCACCACCUGUAUACCGACCAAAAAGGGGCACCCAUCUCUGGAUGUUUCCGGUAUAUGUCAAGCCUUGGUAAGGUUCUUCGCGUUGCAUCGAAUUAAUCCGCAUGCUCCGCCGCUUGUGCGGGCCCCCGUCAAUUCCUUUGAGUUUUAGCCUUGCGGCCGUACUCCCCAGGCGGGGCACUUAAUGCGUUAGCUUCGGCACGGGCGGAGUUGACACCGCCCACACCUAGUGCCCAUCGUUUACGGCGUGGACUAC